This 801-nucleotide long non-coding RNA is filed under the name Olea europaea subsp. europaea. The record is from RNAcentral. Lineage: Eukaryota; Viridiplantae; Streptophyta; Magnoliopsida; Lamiales; Oleaceae.
AGAAAAGCCAUAAACACAAACAUAACAUACCUGCUGCUACAAAAUGACCUUCAUGUCAUCCUCACCAUCUUUCCACCACCACCUAGUUCUCUAAAUUGGUAACCGACCCCAGCAACCUCCCAAAGACAGACCAAGCAGCAACCUUUUGCUGCACAACCGCCUCCUGCCUAUAACUGUCGACGUUCAACCCACGACCACCUAUAACUUCCCAACUAAGUACUUCCAAUAACUACUCACAAAAUAACCGUCCUCGAUCACUCCAUCCCUAAUAACUCACGACACAUUCACUACCCCAAAGAAUCCACUACCCUCCAUCUCCGUGACUCCCAUCACAUAUCUCAAGUAAACCGCUUGCACAAUCAUCUACCACAAACAAGCCCAUAAUCCACUUCAUUAUUCGACACUCUCACAGUCCAUGUACACGAAACCACCAUUACACCAAAGCUAUUUUUGCAAUAACCUGAGAUACCCACACCGCGACCGUCGCCUCAAUGCGUAACAUUCAAGGACCAAUCGUUGAUCGCUCUUAAACCGGUGUCCCUAAGCAGUCAAAACUCUCCUUCCACUGCCACAAUCAACUGUUACCACCGAACAUUAAAUAGAAACCGGAUCCGUAUCGACCAUAUACGAAUCCAAUGAUUACUCCCACUGCCCUCUUCAAAUUCAAAACAUCUGCUGCCAAACAAUUUCGCCUGCACAAUCGUGAAGUUCCAUCGCAGUUGCCAUCCCCACAAUCGACGGUUCUCACUCGACCAUCUCUUUGUCUCUCCCCUGCGCUUUGCCGUCUCAACUUCACGUGAG